UUUCUCUUUACACUUUCAAACCUUCCUCCUCUAAAAAACCCUCUCUGUUUCUCAACUUUCUGCUGUGAAAAUGCGUGAGAUUCUUCACAUUCAAGGUGGCCAAUGCGGUAACCAAAUCGGAUCCAAGUUCUGGGAAGUUGUGUGUGCGGAGCAUGGGAUUGAUUCAACCGGAAGGUACCAGGGAGACACAGAUCUACAACUUGAGAGGGUGAAUGUGUAUUACAAUGAAGCUAGUGGUGGACGGUUUGUUCCUAGGGCUGUGCUUAUGGAUCUGGAACCAGGGACCAUGGACAGUAUCAGAUCUGGGACUUAUGGCCAGAUCUUUCGUCCUGAUAACUUUGUUUUUGGCCAAUCUGGUGCUGGGAACAACUGGGCUAAGGGUCAUUACACUGAG
RNAcentral lists this unclassified non-coding RNA (394 nucleotides) under Hevea brasiliensis (rubber tree). Lineage: Eukaryota; Viridiplantae; Streptophyta; Magnoliopsida; Malpighiales; Euphorbiaceae. The record is from RNAcentral.